GACUACAGGGGUAUCUAAUCCUGUUUGCUCCCCACGCUUUCGUGCCUCAGUGUCAGUGUGGUCCCAGACCGCUGCCUUCGCCAUCGGUGUUCUUCCUGAUCUCUACGCAUUUCACCGCUACACCAGGAGUUCCACAGUCCUCUAACCCACUCAAGUCGCGCCGUUUCAACCGCCAUUCCCAGGUUAAGCCCAGGGCUUUCACGGCUGACUAACACCACCACCUACGCACGCUUUACGCCCAGUCAUUCCGAUUAACGCUCGCACCCUCCGUAUUACCGCGGCUGCUGGCACGGAGUUAGCCGGUGCUUAUUCCGUGGGUAAUGUCAUAACACCCGGCUAUUCACCCGGCAUCGUUCUUCCCCACCUAAAGGGCUUUACAACCCGCAGGCCGUCUUCACCCACGCGGCAUUGCUGGAUCAGGCUUGCGCCCAUUGUCCAAUAUUCCCCACUGCAGCCACCCGUAGG
This 465-nucleotide ribosomal RNA is filed under the name uncultured Gammaproteobacteria bacterium. RNAcentral describes it as "partial 16S ribosomal RNA". Lineage: Bacteria; Pseudomonadati; Pseudomonadota; Gammaproteobacteria. The record is from RNAcentral.